CCUACGGGGGGCAGCAGUGGGGGAUAUUGCACAAUGGGGGAAACUCUGAUGCAGCGACGCCGCGUGGGUGAAGAAGCGCCUCGGCGCGUAAAGCCCUGUCAGCAGGGAAGAAAAUGACGGUACCUGAAGAAGAAGCCCCGGCUAACUACGCGCCAGCAGCCGCGGUAAUACGUAGGGGGCAAGCGUUAUCCGGAUUUACUGGGUGUAAAGGGGGCACAGACGGCGAUGCAAGCCAGGAGUGAAAGCCCGGGGCCCAACCCCGGGACUGCUCUUGGAACUGCGUGGCUAGAGUGCAGGAGGGGCAG
RNAcentral lists this ribosomal RNA (305 nucleotides) under uncultured bacterium. Its description in RNAcentral is "bacterial SSU rRNA". It matches the Rfam family "Bacterial small subunit ribosomal RNA", at positions 338 to 660 of the family's 1533-position model. The record is from RNAcentral.